Oncorhynchus gorbuscha (pink salmon) is the source of this 2098-nucleotide long non-coding RNA. RefSeq lists it as uncharacterized. Lineage: Eukaryota; Metazoa; Chordata; Actinopteri; Salmoniformes; Salmonidae. The record is from RefSeq and is a predicted model, not a curated record. The transcript has 2 exons.
AGAGAGAAAACACACCCCAGAAGAAGAGAGAAAACACACCCCAGAAGAAGAAAGAGAGAAAACACACCCCAGAAGAAGAAAGAGAGAAAACACACCCCAGAAGAAGUUCGGUUCACCUAAUCAGUCUUUACUGUGGUGGUGGAGCUAUUUCUACCACGGUUUAUGUACUGUUAGUCUCAAAAGAACCAGCUUAAAGGGGGUGGAUGUUGAACUACUAUGGUGUUAUGAAUCUGUGAACCCCAGGCAGUCCAGUGUUAUGAAUCUGUGAACCCCAGGCAGUCCAAUGUUAUGAAUCUGUGAACCCCAGACAGUCCGGUGUUAUGAAUCUGUGAACCCCAGGCAGUCCAGUGUUAUGAAUCUGUGAACCCCAGGCAGUCCAAUGUUAUGAAUCUGUGAACCCCAGACAGUCCAAUGUUAUGAAUCUGUGAACCCCAGACAGUCCGGUGUUAUGAAUCUGUGAACCCCAGACAGUCCGGUGUUAUGAAUCUGUGAACCCCAGACAGUCCAGUGUUAUGAAUCUGUGAACCCCAGGCAGUCCAAUGUUAUGAAUCUGUGAACCCCAGACAGUCCGGUGUUAUGAAUCUGUGAACCCCAGACAGUCCGGUGUUAUGAAUCUGUGAACCCCAGACAGUCCAAUGUUAUGAAUCUGUGAACCCCAGGCAGUCCAAUGUUAUGAAUCUGUGAACCCCAGACAGUCCGGUGUUAUGAAUCUGUGAACCCCAGACAGUCCGGUGUUAUGAAUCUGUGAACCCCAGACAGUCCAGUGUUAUGAAUCUGUGAACCCCAGGCAGUCCAAUGUUAUGAAUCUGUGAACCCCAGACAGUCCGGUGUUAUGAAUCUGUGAACCCCAGACAGUCCGGUGUUAUGAAUCUGUGAACCCCAGACAGUCCAAUGUUAUGAAUCUGUGAACCCCAGACAGUCCGGUGUUAUGAAUCUGUGAACCCCAGGCAGUCCAAUGUUAUGAAUCUGUGAACCCCAGACAGUCCGGUGUUAUGAAUCUGUGAACCCCAGACAGUCCGGUGUUAUGAAUCUGUGAACCCCAGACAGUCCAGUGUUAUGAAUCUGUGAACCCCAGGCAGUCCAAUGUUAUGAAUCUGUGAACCCCAGACAGUCCGGUGUUAUGAAUCUGUGAACCCCAGACAGUCCGGUGUUAUGAAUCUGUGAACCCCAGACAGUCCGGUGUUAUGAAUCUGUGAACCCCAGACAGUCCGGUGUUAUGAAUCUGUGAACCCCAGACAGUCCGGUGUUAUGAAUCUGUGAACCCCAGACAGUCCAGUGUUAUGAAUCUGUGAACCCCAGGCAGUCCAAUGUUAUGAAUCUGUGAACCCCAGACAGUCCGGUGUUAUGAAUCUGUGAACCCCAGACAGUCCGGUGUUAUGAAUCUGUGAACCCCAGACAGUCCGGUGUUAUGAAUCUGUGAACCCCAGACAGUCCAAUGUUAUGAAUCUGUGAACCCCAGACAGUCCAAUGUUAUGAAUCUGUGAACCCCAGACAGUCCAGUGUUAUGAAUCUGUGAACCCCAGACAGUCCGGUGUUAUGAAUCUGUGAACCCCAGACAGUCCGGCAGGUAGCCAGCGAGUCCAUUUCAUCUGACCCGGGUGGUUUGAGAAAAGUAGUGGACUAUAUAGGCCAGGGAAUAGUUUGUCAUUUGGUACGCAUUCUGUGUUCACAGGGCAAAACAUAAACAAUCCAGGAGGAAUUUAAUACUUAACACUUCAGCGCUAUGAAUAAUUCACCUCCAGUAAGAGGAGGAGCAUCUGAUAGAAGGGACAGAACACUUCCUGUCAAUAUUUAACUGGAUUAAACUGGGCUAUGUCAGAAGACAAAGGCUGUAAACUGUCAACCAGAAUGGCUGACUCAGGAACAGACAGAAGAUAGCUAUUAGUGUGUCAUUUAAUCUAUAUAGUGGACUACUUUUGACCACAGGCUAAUGGACCCUGGUAAAAAAGUAGUGCACUACAUAGGGUGGCAUUUGGGACUCAUCCUGUGAAGUGUAACCAGAGGUCAGGUCCCUGACUGCCUGACCUAUCCCAGCCUAGCAUACGUCCAACCUUCCCUUUCUUUGUUCCGUUGCAUAAUAAAGAUAGGUUAUCACAGA